UCCGGGGUCGUCUAAUCGGCAGGACAACUGGUUUUGGUCCAGUCAGUUGGGGUUCGAGUCCCUGCCCCGGAA
Molecule: transfer RNA, 72 nt
Filed under: Abditibacteriota bacterium
Lineage: Bacteria; Pseudomonadati; Abditibacteriota
Description: tRNA-Gln
Rfam family: tRNA
About the family: Transfer RNA (tRNA) molecules are approximately 80 nucleotides in length. Their secondary structure includes four short double-helical elements and three loops (D, anti-codon, and T loops).
Source: RNAcentral